GACGAACGCUGGCGGCGUGCUUAACACAUGCAAGUCGAACGAAAAGAGGGAAAGAGCUUGCUCUUUCCGGAAUUGAGUGGCAAACGGGUGAGUAACACGUAAACAACCUGCCUUCAGGAUGGGGACAACAGACGGAAACGACUGCUAAUACCGAAUAAGUUCCAAGGGCCGCAUGGCCCAUGGAAGAAAAGGUGGCCUCUACCUGUAAGCUAUCGCCUGAAGAGGGGUUUGCGUCUGAUUAGCUGGUUGGAGGGGUAACGGCCCACCAAGGCGACGAUCAGUAGCCGGUCUGAGAGGAUGAACGGCCACACUGGAAUUGAGACACGGUCCAGACUCCUACGGGAGGCAGCAGUGGGGAAUCUUCCGCAAUAGGCGAAAGCCUGACGGAGCAACGCCGCGUGAGUGAUGACGGCCUUCGGGUUGUAAAACUCUGUGAUCCGGGACGAAAAGGCAGAGUGCGAAGAACAAACUGCAUUGACGGUACCGGAAAAGCAAGCCACGGCUAACUACGUG
This 513-nucleotide ribosomal RNA is filed under the name uncultured bacterium. RNAcentral describes it as "partial 16S ribosomal RNA". It matches the Rfam family "Bacterial small subunit ribosomal RNA", at positions 28 to 507 of the family's 1533-position model. The record is from RNAcentral.